UGACUCACAAGAUUUCAAAGAAACUAUAGGAAUUGGUUCUUUCCAUGCAAUGGAAGAAGAGAUUCUCAGUGUCCAUUCUAUGGUAUUAGAUUCUAAAGUAUACUCUCUUGCUCUUUGCUUUUUUGCUUAUGGUAUCGAUAAAGAAGAGCUGAGCCAAGAAAAAUAUAUAUAGCGCCUUUAAAGAAUAAAGAUUCACCCUCUUGAGUGUGAGCUUGACAACACAUGCUUUAUGAAUACUAUCUUGCAAUGCUUUGUGGUGUUUGGAAUUAGUUGUUUCAGGUUUCAAGGUCAGUGCAGUAGCUUGGAACCAAUCUUUUCUUCUCAAUGACAACAAGAAUCUACACAUUCUUUCCAUUCACAAAAAUUCAUCUCAAUAUUCUUACCAAUCCAAAAAGAUAUUUUCUUUCUUCUUUGUUUUUGAAUUCGAUCAAUGGCUUCUGUGCCAGAAGUUUCUGAAAUGUCCUCUCUGUUUGAAAGAUUAGUGAGAAACAAAGACAUGUCAAUGUUCUUGUCUUUCAUCCUUGGUUUUUCAGGGAGAAAUAACGAAGACCCAGAUCAGGAAAAUGAAGAUAAUGAACGUUCCCAGAGUCGAAGAAUCAUCUUAGUGAACCUCUUUCAUCUAUUACCUCAAAUUAUUUCUCAUUUCUUUAUUACUCUAGUUUAUUUACCCUCUCAUUAAACAUACAACAUUAUAGUGUGUAAUUUAUUAAGAUUAAGGUUCAUCUCAUUUCUCUCUUUCAUCCAUUAUGAUUGGUUUGCUUAUGUCAAAAAUAUGGUUAAACGUUGAUUGAAAUUGCUUAUGCCAAAUGGUGGUUAAACAUCAAUAUUGCUUCAGGUUCAGAUUUCAAGACUGAGAGACGAAGAUUCACUCACCAGCAAGAUGAGGUAUUAGAGUAUAUGUGGUGUUCAUCACAAUCAUUUCAAGCUUGGAAUGCUUGACACAUUCCAACUUGAGGGAGAAUG
RNAcentral lists this long non-coding RNA (963 nucleotides) under Lupinus angustifolius (narrow-leaved blue lupine). RNAcentral's name for it is "long non-coding RNA (LANG_LNC002229)". The record is from RNAcentral. Lineage: Eukaryota; Viridiplantae; Streptophyta; Magnoliopsida; Fabales; Fabaceae.